GUGGUUGUAGCUCAGUUGGUUAGAGCGUCAGAUUGUGGCUCUGAAGGUCGUGGGUUCGAUCCCCAUCAUCCACCCCA
RNAcentral lists this transfer RNA (77 nucleotides) under Campylobacterota bacterium. RNAcentral's name for it is "tRNA-His". It matches the Rfam family "tRNA". Rfam says of the family: Transfer RNA (tRNA) molecules are approximately 80 nucleotides in length. Their secondary structure includes four short double-helical elements and three loops (D, anti-codon, and T loops). Lineage: Bacteria; Pseudomonadati; Campylobacterota. RNAcentral also lists the same sequence under 1 other name. The record is from RNAcentral.